This 497-nucleotide ribosomal RNA is filed under the name uncultured bacterium. Its description in RNAcentral is "partial 16S ribosomal RNA". It matches the Rfam family "Bacterial small subunit ribosomal RNA", at positions 28 to 507 of the family's 1533-position model. The record is from RNAcentral.
GAUGAACGCUGGCGGCGUGCCUAAUACAUGCAAGUCGAGCGAACGGACGAGAAGCUUGCUUCUCUGAUGUUAGCGGCGGACGGGUGAGUAACACGUGGAUAACCUACCUAUAAGACUGGGAUAACUUCGGGAAACCGGAGCUAAUACCGGAUGAUAUUUUGAACCGCAUGGUUCAAAAGUGAAAGACGGUCUUGCUGUCACUUAUAGAUGGAUACGCGCUGCAUUAGCUAGUUGGUAAGGUAACGGCUUACCAAGGCAACGAUGCAUAGCCGACCUGAGAGGGUGAUCGGCCACACUGGAACUGAGACACGGUCCAGACUCCUACGGGAGGCAGCAGUAGGGAAUCUUCCGCAAUGGGCGAAAGCCUGACGGAGCAACGCCGCGUGAGUGAUGAAGGUCUUCGGAUCGUAAAACUCUGUUAUUAGGGAAGAACAUAUGUGUAAGUAACUGUGCACAUCUUGACGGUACCUAAUCAGAAAGCCACGGCUAACUACGUG